This 383-nucleotide long non-coding RNA is filed under the name Mustela putorius furo (domestic ferret). RNAcentral describes it as "lncRNA (ENSMPUG00000030286.1)". Lineage: Eukaryota; Metazoa; Chordata; Mammalia; Carnivora; Mustelidae. The record is from RNAcentral.
AUUGUUCCAUGGUGACACCGGUGUGGUGAAAUAGGAACUUUCUAGGAAUCUAAGAUUUGCUGAUUACGUGACCUCCACUAAGGCCAGAUAUUCAAAGAAACCAUCAGCCUUUAAGGAGUCUACAUUGUCAUGGGGCACCCAGGAUCAUGCCUAACAACAUUAUGCAAAAUGCCUGUGAGUGGCAAGCUAGAAUAAUGGAGAACAAGGCUAUUCCUUGAAGUUUUUCCUGGUUCUCUGUCUAAAUUUAGACAGUUCUUUGUGCUUCCAUAGCAUCAUCUACUUACCGCUAUCAUAAAAGUCAUCACCUUUGGAGUAUUGGUUCCUGUCUAUGCCACAACUCACCAUCCUUCCCAGCCCCCAACCCACUAACUAGGCAAUAAAAC